Passer domesticus (house sparrow) is the source of this 652-nucleotide long non-coding RNA. RefSeq lists it as uncharacterized. The record is from RefSeq and is a predicted model, not a curated record. Lineage: Eukaryota; Metazoa; Chordata; Aves; Passeriformes; Passeridae. The transcript has 4 exons.
UUCUCAGUGUGCCACCAAGGAAGAAUUGUUGACAGCCUGGCAGGAAGCAGGUGACAGAAGCUUCUGUGGCUCUUGUGUCACAGAUGUGUCUGCAGCGAGGACUUUUCCUGCUCCUUUGCUGAUUCCUACAAAGAAGACUGGUUCCCAUGGCAGGGGUCCUCUGAGAGGGAAGAGCAAAGGCAAACGACAGAAGAAACCCCACGAGCCAAACAACAUCCUGAAACACAUCGUGACAGAACUGCAGAAAGGGCAUGGGAUGGACAGAGAGGCUCUGUGGAAGGUGGCAUUUCCUGAAGGAAGGGAAGAGAUGCCAGGCACAGUCCCAGAAGAUUGGGAUCACGGCUUAGAUUACUUGGAAACACUGGUGAAUGGUGGUUUGAAGACCUUGCCAGAUGUUGGAGGCAAGUUCUCAAUGUACAUUUCCUGACAGAAUAAUCAGUGUCAAUGUGGCAAGAGCUCAGUCAAGUGGCAUUUCCCUUAAGUUCCUCUGAAGGUUGAUCAGUUCAGGAAGUCUUGCCCUGCUCCAUUCUGGAGCUCUGAAGGAUCCCACAGGAUUGCUGUCGAUGGGAGCAUUUAUCUGUCCAUCUUCCUCUCGUGUGCAAUGCCAGUGUGUCCUUCCGUGUGCUCUGUUGCAGCCACCGAGAAGGGCAGA